This 492-nucleotide ribosomal RNA is filed under the name uncultured bacterium. RNAcentral describes it as "partial 16S ribosomal RNA". It matches the Rfam family "Bacterial small subunit ribosomal RNA", at positions 29 to 507 of the family's 1533-position model. The record is from RNAcentral.
AGUGAACGCUGGCGGUAGGCCUAACACAUGCAAGUCGAACGGCAGCACAGUAAGAGCUUGCUCUUACGGGUGGCGAGUGGCGGACGGGUGAGGAAUACAUCGGAAUCUACUUUUUCGUGGGGGAUAACGUAGGGAAACUUACGCUAAUACCGCAUACGACCUACGGGUGAAAGCGGGGGAUCUUCGGACCUUGCGCGAUUGAAUGAGCCGAUGUCGGAUUAGCUAGUUGGCGGGGUAAAGGCCCACCAAGGCGGCGAUCCGUAGCUGGUCUGAGAGGAUGAUCAGCCACACUGGAACUGAGACACGGUCCAGACUCCUACGGGAGGCAGCAGUGGGGAAUAUUGGACAAUGGGCGCAAGCCUGAUCCAGCCAUACCGCGUGGGUGAAGAAGGCCUUCGGGUUGUAAAGCCCUUUUGUUGGGAAAGAAAAGCAGCAGGUUAAUACCCCGCUGUUCUGACGGUACCCAAAGAAUAAGCACCGGCUAACUUCGUG